RNAcentral lists this ribosomal RNA (406 nucleotides) under uncultured bacterium. RNAcentral's name for it is "partial 16S ribosomal RNA". It matches the Rfam family "Bacterial small subunit ribosomal RNA", at positions 30 to 526 of the family's 1533-position model. The record is from RNAcentral.
AUUGAACGCUGGCGGCAGGCCUAACACAUGCAAGUCGAGCGAGCGGCGGACGGGUGAGUAAUGUCUGGGAAACUGCCUGAUGGAGGGGGAUAACUACUGGAAACGGUAGCUAAUACCGCAUACCCUCAGAUGUGCCCAGAUGGGAUUAUCUAGUAGGUGGGGUAAUGGCGCACCUAGGCAACGAUCCCUAGCUGUUCUGAGAGGAUGACCAGCCACACUGGGACUGAGACACGGUCCAGACUCCCACGGGAGGGAGCAGUGGGGAAUAUUGCACAAUGGGCGCAAGCCUGAUGCAGCCAUGCGGCGUGUAUGAAGAAGGCCUUCGGGUUGUAAAGUACUUUCAGCGAGGAGGCGUUACUCGCAGAAGAAGCACCGGCUAACUCCGUGCCAGCAGCCGCGGUAAUUC